ACGGGGGGAGCAAGCGUUGUUCGGAUUUACUGGGCGUAAAGGGCGCGUGGCGGCCACCGCAAGUCAAUUGUGAAAUCUCCGGGCUUAACUCGGAAAGGUCAACUGAUACUGCGGGGCUAGAGUGCAGAAGGGGCAACUGGAAUUCUCGGUGUAGCGGUGAAAUGCGUAGAUAUCGGGAGGAACAUCUGUGGCGAAGGCGACACCCUGGACCAGCACUGACACUGAGGCACGAAAGCGUGGGGAGCAAACAGGA
This 253-nucleotide ribosomal RNA is filed under the name uncultured prokaryote. RNAcentral describes it as "partial 16S ribosomal RNA". It matches the Rfam family "Bacterial small subunit ribosomal RNA", at positions 525 to 777 of the family's 1533-position model. The record is from RNAcentral.